AGCCAUAGGUUCUACCUGACUGUGAUGGAGAUGGGGGAGUUCAGAAGGUCUUGGAAGAGAAACUGGAGGAGGAAGAGGCUCAAGGAGGAGUGGGGAGAACAGCUGGAGACUGGCUGGGUAGGAUUGUGAACUCUUGCUGGGGUAGAUCAGAAGGCUCCUGGAAUUACCUUCAGGUCCAGGACAACUCAAUGUACCCCAGUACAUCUCCUGUGAGGGCCAGUCUUCUUCCAGCCUCCCCGUCCUCACGCUUGCAGCCACAGGACACGGAUUGGCUGUGAACUUGUCAUGCAGUUGAGGAUGGCCUUAAACAACUGGCUCUUCUGCCUCCACCUUCUGAGAGCUAGGCUUUACCGCAGGCUCAUCUCUGACCUUUGGCUCUUUCUCAGAUGUUUGAAAGCCAAUGUUCCAGUUCCUGUGGAAAAGCUGCUGAAGUUUUGUUUCCCUUUCCCUUCCUCUCCCUCCCCCCCGCAACAACAAAACCCAUGAAACAAAACAACAGCACCCACAUUUUACGAAUUUCCCCACUGAGAUCUUGUAGUUAUUUUCGUAAAGCUGGACAAGGUGUUGCACAUGUUAAAUCCCAGAACUUAGGAAGGGGAGGGUCACUUUGAUUGUCAGGCCAACGGGAGCCACAUAUAGAGACCUAUCUUUUAAACAGAGGGUUUAUUCUUUAGUAAGUCGUACUUUAUUUUUAGAUCUAUUCAUUUCAUGUGGAUGGGUGUUCUGCCUGCACCUUGUGCACGCAGUGACUGAGGAAGCUAGAGUGGGAGCCCUUAGAGCCGGAGUUAACACUGGACUCGAUGUCUUCGCUUGGGCUGGGUACUGAACCCUGGAUUUCUGGAAGAGCAGGCAGUGCUCUUUACCACUCAUCCAUCUCUACAGCUCUGUGCUUUUUAAAAAUGAAAAAAAAAAUUUAGUAAGAAUCAAGAUAGAAACUGGGCAG
This is a long non-coding RNA of Mus musculus (house mouse), 943 nucleotides long. RefSeq annotates it as predicted gene 12511. The record is from RefSeq and is a predicted model, not a curated record. The transcript has 3 exons. Lineage: Eukaryota; Metazoa; Chordata; Mammalia; Rodentia; Muridae.